GACUUUCUGGCCCGAUACUGACGCUGGGACGCGAGAGCGUGGGUAGCAAACAGGAUUAGAUACCCUGGUAGUCCACGCUGUAAACGAUGUUCACUAGGUG
This 100-nucleotide ribosomal RNA is filed under the name uncultured bacterium. Its description in RNAcentral is "partial 16S ribosomal RNA". It matches the Rfam family "Bacterial small subunit ribosomal RNA", at positions 723 to 822 of the family's 1533-position model. The record is from RNAcentral.